Molecule: non-coding RNA, 1785 nt
Organism: Phalacrocorax carbo (great cormorant)
Lineage: Eukaryota; Metazoa; Chordata; Aves; Suliformes; Phalacrocoracidae
Source: RefSeq, a predicted model, not a curated record
UUCCUCUGAAGUGUAUUUGAAUAAAGCAACCUGGUUAGCAGGCUGUGAUGCAAGGCGCUGUGGCUGAACUGGAUGGUGGGAAAUUUGUAAGGAAAGCAGUGCUGGAUUUGGUGGUACCUUCUGGAACCGACGGCAUCCCUGCCUCUGCUUUGGCUUUCUGUGCAAGUGGGUUCUGAGGAAAAGGGAUGAAUUCAGAAGACACUGAAAAAUUAUUUUUCUCUAUUUUAAAAUGACAACAUUUCUAAACAUUAUGAUAGUUAAUAUUGCAGGCAGGACUGGAGCUCUGCUGUUGAAACCUGUUAGAAGUACCUGUGACAACAAGUUCAGCAGUGCUCAGCUGCUUCCAUCCCACCUGCAGUCUGUGUCAUAGCCAUAUCCUAAAGUGCUGGUGAUCGGAGAGGUGGACCUGGUAAUAAAUGGAACUAUCUUAUGGCUGGUGUUUGGGUAAGAGCAGAACCACACCACCACUGGAAAUAAUCUUUAAUUUUUUUUCUUUCGUAUUCACCAAUGCAGCCAUGAAAACAAUGUGUUUUAUCUGUAAGCAAUGUAUGUUAUCUGCAGAUGACGUCGUUUUCUCUCGCCUCAGAAAAAUAUCAUUAGCUCAUGCUACAGCAGCUUGUGCUUUUGUUUUUAUGAUACUUCUAGUUUAUCAGCCAAAAAUGAGGAUUAGUGUGCAUAAUCUAGUGGAUCACAUGAAGGCCAAAGUUAUCCAGAAUCACAAUGUAUCCUAUGCAGCCUUCCCUCACUGCUGUUAAAGGAGGGUUAGCACCUUCCUCGUCUCAGGGACUGAGGCAGCAGGGGCCUAUCACCUUGGGACCUGUGUCCUGCUGUGCAUCCCAGAGUGCGCUAAUCUCUGUAUUUAGCUCUUCUUUCAUAUGCAUUUAUGAAAGAGCUUUGCACAGAUGGGUAAGAGUUUUUAUCCACAUUUCUUGGUGGUUUAGUGUAGUUACAUCAGGAGGAGUAAUUAUUUCUAUCAGCAAGAUUGUGACAGCCACCACAUAUUAUGGGAAUUUUCUUCAUUGAAACUUUAAUUUUUUUCCCUUUUGUUUGAUUCUUACAGUAACACAAAGAAUAGUUUAGAAAUAUAAUUGCAAUCUCUAGAAGAAAUAUAACCAGACUGGCUAUGAAGCUGAAUCACAUUAGAGCACUGGGAAUAGAGCCACCUAUAAAAGAAAAUGAGCAGAAAGAAAAUCACAGCUUGAGCAGUUGUCAUUUGUCACGAAAGGGGAAUCUCUGCUGAACCACCAACAAUGGGCCACCCAGGAGAAAAGGCAUUUUGACAGUGAUGGCUUGUAGCCUGCCAGUGUUGGAAAGCUCACAAGGUAGUCCUUUAACAGCAACAAUUACUUCGUUAUCGAGCACAAGGUGUAUAGUUACGCUGCUUAACUUCAUUUGUUUGGCACGUUUUAUCAUGUAUGGGAUUGGGUUAACUGAGUGCUGAUACAGUUAAACUCUUGGUUAAGACCUUGAACAAUCAGCAUAACCUUUCCUAAACUCGAGGGUUUGACUUGUAAAACAUCUGUGCUUUGCUGCCAGACAAUAAACCUGACUGCUUGUAAGGAAUUGCAAAUGAGAUAUCGAUACAGCUACAAUGUUCUCAAGAAAAUCUUUGUAAAAGUUCAAAUUACUUUAUUUAAUGAAUGCAUUAAUUCAUGACACAAAUCUUUUAAUGCCUCAUCCUUUCUCAACAUUGUGCUCACUGAAUUGGAGUUAUGUAUAUUAUACUUUCAGAUUUUUUAUAUUAUCUUUUUUUGGCUUUGCAUACACGCAAUCUGUAGUAACAUA